GUGACAGAGAGAGGGAAGGAAGGGGUGACUAGUGACAGAGUGAGGGAGGGUGUGACUAGUGACAGAGAGAGGGAGGGUGUGACUAGUGACAGUCACCCCCUCCCUCACUCUGUCACUAGUCACCCCCUCCCUCACUCUGUCACUAGUCACCCCUUCCUUCCCUCACUCUGCCACUAGUCACCCCUUCCCUCACUCUGCCACUAGUCAC
Non-coding RNA from Pelobates cultripes (western spadefoot toad), 208 nucleotides. Lineage: Eukaryota; Metazoa; Chordata; Amphibia; Anura; Pelobatidae. The record is from the annotation of a GenBank genome assembly.